UCCUCAAAAUCUCCCCCAAACUGGGACCCCCUGCCCUUUACUGGGAGCACUGGGAGCUUCUGGCUCCGCCCCCUUUUGUAUUUAUUAAAGGUAUUUUGGGACAAAAUCUCCUUUUUUGGUCAUUUCUGGGAAAGGGGGGGUUGUGGGGGAGGGGCCGGCUGAGCCCUAAUGAGAUUUUGCUAAUAAUGUUUAUAAUUACAGUGAAUAAAUUUUAUUAUUAUUAAAAUUAUAUUAUUAGUAGGGAAUUAUAUUGGUAAAUAUGACUUAAGGGUUACAUUUAUUAUUAUUAUUAUUAUUAUUAUUAUUAUUAUUAUUAUUAUUAUUAUUGGUAUUGUUAUUAUUAUUACUGAAAUAAUAAUAUUAUUUAUUAUUAUGUAAUUAUUAUGAGAAUAUAAUUAUAAUUAUAAUAUUUAUAAUAAUAAAAUUAAAUUAUAUUAGUAAUCAUAACUUGAGGGUAAAAGAAUGCUAAUAAUAGUAGUAGUAGUAGUAAUAAUAAUAAAAAUAAUAAUAAUAUUACCCUCAAUUAUAAUCACUGAUUAAAGUGAAUAAAAAUUAGUAUUAUUUAAAUAUAUUAAUAGUAGGUAAUUAUAUUGGCAAUUAUGACUUUAGGGGAUAUUAAUAAUAAUAAUAUUAAUAUUAUUAUUAUUAUUAUUACUAUGAAUAAUAAUAUAAUAAUUAUUAAUAGUAUAAUUAUAAUAAUAAUGGAAAAAUAUUAUGAAAAAUCAUUUAUAAAAUAACAAAAAGCAAAACAAAAACAAGGAAAAAAUUCAAAACCCAUCACAUAUUUAACCCCAAAAUUAUCCAUUUUUAAUCAGCAAACUUUCCUCAAAAAUCCCAAUUUUCUCCCCAAAAAACGACUCCGGCACCGCUGCUCAAGCCACACCCAUUUAUUGCAGCACAAGCCCCGCCCUCAGCGGAGGAGGGGCAGCAGCACGAAGGGGAGGAGCCACCCGGGCCCGCCCAGCGAUUGGCCCCGCCCCACCGGGCCCUUGAUCCCGUCCUUGCGCCCCAUUGGCCGCCUGGGGGCCACGUGACCGGCGGCCAUAUUGUCUCCGUCAGCCAUUUUGUCUCCGUCCGCCAUUUUGUCUCCGUCAGCCAUCUUGUUUUCAUCAGCCAUCUUGUUUCCGUCAGCCAUUUUGUCUCCGUCAGCCAUCUUGUCUCCGUCAGCCAUCUUGUUUCCGUCAGCCAUCUUGUCCCCAUCAGCCACCUUGCCCCUGGUGACCAUCGUGCCACCGGCAGCCAUCUUGUCUCCAUCACCCACAUUGCCCUCAGCAGCCAUCUUGCCCCCAGCAGCCAUUUUGUCCCCAGCAGCCAUCUUGUCCCCAGCAGCCAUCUUGCCCCCGGCAGCCAUCUUGCCGCGGGUGCCAUUUUUCCCGCCCCCAUCCUCCGUGGCGUUAUUGGGCGUGGCCGUGGGGGCGUGGCCGUGCGGCAGCAGCUCCAGCCGGGGCAGAUCGGGCGAGAACAAACUCCUGUCGGCCAUCUUGUCGUUGCAGAGGUCGCCGCGGCAACAGGAGCCGGCCAAUGAGGCGUCGGCGUCGCCGCGGCGCUCGGGGGCGCAGCCGCCAUCGGGGACGCAGCCCCGCAGCUCCCGCCACAGGGUGAGGUUACCUGAGGGGAAAGGGGGCGUGGUUUACGCAGAGUGGGCGGGGUUUAGAGAGAAAGGGGCAUGGUUUAACGCGAAGGGGACGUGGUUUAA
This 1696-nucleotide long non-coding RNA is filed under the name Junco hyemalis (dark-eyed junco). Its description in RNAcentral is "lncRNA (ENSJHYG00000001814.1)". Lineage: Eukaryota; Metazoa; Chordata; Aves; Passeriformes; Passerellidae. The record is from RNAcentral.